RNAcentral lists this long non-coding RNA (297 nucleotides) under Homo sapiens (human). Its description in RNAcentral is "non-protein coding lnc-S100A11-1:1". Lineage: Eukaryota; Metazoa; Chordata; Mammalia; Primates; Hominidae. The record is from RNAcentral.
UGAGUUUGUGGAUGAGGUUCUCUGUCAGCCUGCAGCCCUCAGCCAGCUGCUCUCAGAUAUCCUGCCCCUGGGAGUUGUCAGGCUCAUCCGGAGUGAGGAGGGCCUGGAGAUGCUGAUUCAAUGAGCGGGAGGCAUCUCUCCCUUCCUGUAAUCUCUUCCUUAACCAGGCCAGCUCUCGUGCCUGAGAGUGAACUAGGACUUUAUAUUGCCUAAGCUCCUCAGCUUGCCCAAGCUGCUCUGCAAGCUUCUCGUCCUUGAAUUGCAGCUCAUCCCUCAGCAUAGAUUUUAUGAGGUCUU